This 540-nucleotide ribosomal RNA is filed under the name Clostridium botulinum C. Its description in RNAcentral is "partial 23S ribosomal RNA". It matches the Rfam family "Bacterial large subunit ribosomal RNA", at positions 930 to 1470 of the family's 2925-position model. Lineage: Bacteria; Bacillati; Bacillota; Clostridia; Eubacteriales; Clostridiaceae. The record is from RNAcentral.
CAACAGUUACUGAACCCUAUCAAACUCCGAAUGCCAUAUACUUGUACCCCGGCAGUCAGACUACGAAUGAUAAGAUCCGUGGUCAAAAGGGAAACAGCCCAGACCAUCAGCUAAGGUCCCAAAGUGUAAGUUAAGUGGGAAAGGAUGUGGGAUUUCUAAGACAACUAGGAUGUUGGCUUAGAAGCAGCCACUCAUUUAAAGAGUGCGUAAUAGCUCACUAGUCGAGAGAUCCUGCGCCGAAGAUGUAACGGGGCUCAAACUUACCACCGAAGCUAUGGAUGUGUACUUUGUACACGUGGUAGAGGAGCUUUCUGUACAGGUUGAAGUCAUACCGUAAGGAGUGGUGGACAGUACAGAAGUGAGAAUGCUGGCAUAAGUAGCGAAAAACAAGUGAGAAUCUUGUUGACCGAAUAUCUAAGGUUUCCUGGGGAAGGCUCGGCCUCCCAGGGUUAGUCGGGACCUAAGCCGAGGCCGAAAGGCGGAGGUGAUGGACAACUGGUUGAUAUUCCAGUACCACCAUAAUGCGUUUGACAAAUGGGA